This 73-nucleotide transfer RNA is filed under the name Urocitellus parryii (Arctic ground squirrel). RNAcentral describes it as "Spermophilus parryii (Arctic ground squirrel) tRNA". It matches the Rfam family "tRNA". Rfam says of the family: Transfer RNA (tRNA) molecules are approximately 80 nucleotides in length. Their secondary structure includes four short double-helical elements and three loops (D, anti-codon, and T loops). RNAcentral also lists the same sequence under 2 other names. Lineage: Eukaryota; Metazoa; Chordata; Mammalia; Rodentia; Sciuridae. The record is from Rfam by way of RNAcentral.
GGAGAUAUAGCUUAGUUGGUAGAGUGCUUGCCUCACAUGCACAAGGCACUGGGUUCAAUCCCCAGCAUCACAG